Ornithorhynchus anatinus (platypus) is the source of this 137-nucleotide non-coding RNA. Lineage: Eukaryota; Metazoa; Chordata; Mammalia; Monotremata; Ornithorhynchidae. The record is from Rfam.
CCCCUCUCAAGGUCGUACCUGGAGAGUUUCCAGUACUCUACCAGUCUUGACUAAAAGAGGGAGAGUCAAGCAGAGGCUUACCCAUUCCAUUUCUAGCUUGGGCAGUGGUGACGAGUGGAAGACAAUCUGCCACAAGU